CCUACGGGAGGCAGCAGUGAGGAAUAUUGGUCAAUGGUCGGGAGCCUGAACCAGCCAAGCCGCGUGAGGGAUGAAGGUCCAGAGUAUCGUAAACCUCUUUUGUCAGGGAACAAAGGCGGGGACGUGUCCCCGGCUGAGUGUACCUGAAGAAAAAGCAUCGGCUAACUCCGUGCCAGCAGCCGCGGUAAUACGGAGGAUGCGAGCGUUAUCCGGAUUUAUUGGGUUUAAAGGGUGCGCAGGCGGGUUGUUAAGUCAGCGGUCAAAGCCCGGGGCUCAACCCCCGCACGGCGGUUGAAACUGGCAGUCUCGAGUAGGAGAGAAGUAUGCGGAAUGCGCGGUGUAGCGGUGAAAUGCAUAGAUAUCGCGAAGAACUCCGAUUGCGAAGGCAGCAUGCCGGCCCCACACUGACGCUGAGGCACGAAAGCGUGGGUAUCGAACAGGAUUAGAUACCCCGGUAGUC
RNAcentral lists this ribosomal RNA (460 nucleotides) under uncultured bacterium. Its description in RNAcentral is "partial 16S ribosomal RNA". It matches the Rfam family "Bacterial small subunit ribosomal RNA", at positions 338 to 795 of the family's 1533-position model. The record is from RNAcentral.